UCAGUCAAAAGUAUAAAAAGAAGAGUGAUGCCAGAAGUUUGGAUGAGAUCUCUGAAUAUCCUAAGCCAAGUGCAGGCCAUAGGAGAAAGCAGUGAAAAAGAAACACUGUGACAAGCAAGGAAGAAACUUCAGACCAAGUUGACAGGCAGCCCUUCAGUUUACUGACUGCCGCUUCUUACCUGCCAACGCCAAGCACAAAGCUGCCUGCAGAGCCAGCCUCUAUCUGUGGUCCUUGUGCCAAUUAUCACUGCCCCACUCAUGCCGCAGGAUAUAAAGCAGAGUGACAGGGUCACAGGACUGCCAGAGGAAUACAGGCUGCAGUGCAGUGGUGCCAUCUGGGCUCACUGCAACCUCUGCCUCCCAGGUUCAAGUGAUCCUCAUGCCUCAGCCUCCUGAGUAACUGGGAUUACAGGCUAUGCUCCGUAAAGAGAGUGCCUCCUCUAGAAUCACAAGACCUAAGCAUGAAUCUUCCUUUGAAGGAUAAAAUGGAAGGAAAAAAACUGGAUGAGGAAAAGAAGAGUGGGGAAUAGAAAGAGAGAGAGAGAGAAAGAUGGAUAAAUUUUUAAAGUUACUAUAAUAAAAAUCUUCUACAACGAAACUAUAAUUGUUGAUCAGCAAAUGUGAACUAAUCCUCCUCCUCCUUACCUUCUCUCUCUGAAUUGCCUUCAUUUUUUGGAGUUCAG
Molecule: long non-coding RNA, 683 nt
Filed under: Homo sapiens (human)
Lineage: Eukaryota; Metazoa; Chordata; Mammalia; Primates; Hominidae
Description: HSALNT0372908
Source: RNAcentral